CCAGGAAGGACUGGGACCCCCACUGGCCCAGUGAUUAGAGCACUGGGGCAUGGGUGGGAGUGGGCGGAGCGUCUCCUGAAAUGGGGAGGCUGGAGAGGAAGUCGGGACAGAGGAGAAGGUGCCGCCGCCUGGGACAUGGGCUUCCCCAAGGGCCCUGAAGCGCUCGGUCUGGAACUCAGGGCGAGACUGGCCAGGGGAGAGUCCGCCUCCAGCUGCCCAGGUGCUAAGCAGGCGCCACAGGGCAGACGACAUGCGUGGCCAAGAGAAAAGACGGAAGCGAGAGGCCAGACGUGAAGUUUCUUCUAGGCUGUAUUUUUCUCCUGUGCAAGCUCCUCCUCUGGUUUAGGGACAAUCAAGGAGCACGUAAGUACGGCGGGGGCACUCGUCACGGGUCGGUCCAUGAGCGGCACUUCUCGGGGCUCUGGUCACCUGGCUGUGCUCAAUGACCAGUCUACAUCUGAACCCCAAAGUUCAGCGCCUCCCUCUAUUUUUAAGCGUGUGAGCACUCUUUUUGGGUCACUGACCCUGUGUCCAGCCCCACUGCGUGGCCUGGGCACACCUCCCAACGCCACCAUUGUCUCAAGGAAUGACUACUAUUGUAAAGCGACAGCCUUCAGACACUAGGUGGCUUUUCGGAUGUGCAUAUCCUUCAUGCCAGGGCAGUUUCCCAAGUGUUCCUUGAGUGAGCACGAAGUUUUGAACCUCUUGAUUUGCAUGAUUUUGUGGGGUUUUCUGGGUCAAGUGACCAGCGAACCGUUUUCAGAGGUCACCUCAGGUCCCUUACAGAAAAGAGGAAGCCAAAUGACUGGUUUUUGAUGUGCUGACCAGCCUGAGCUGGGGGCAGUGGGGGCGUGGAAUAGGGGACCUGGGGCCAGCAGCGCGGCAGAGCCAGGGAGGUCUGGCUAGCAGGAGGAAGAGGAAGUGAGGGCUGCCCCCUGCUGCGGGGGGGGGGCGGGGGCGGGAACUUCCCAGCGAGGCUGCAGCAGCCCCUCUGGACUCCUGCCAUCCUCAGAAGCUUGAUUGAGGAAGAAAGGGUAGUGAGGAGGAGCUGCUUUCUGAGGACUCGCCCAGCCCCGAGACCCGUCCAGGGAGGGGUGGGCCUCCAGCCCUUUCGCAGAGGAGAGCUGGUGCCCAGGGCGGGGCAGGGUCAGCCUCCGAGUGGCAGCUCUCCACCGCCUCACCUUGGGCAUCUCCCACUCUGAGCCUCAGUUUGCCCACCCACAAAAUGGGCCAAGAAUGUGGCCUCUGUGGGCAUGUGAUGGGAUGAAGCCAGGUAAGGAGGUCCCAGGCUGGGCCACAGCAAGUCCCCGGCCAGCCCGGCACAGGCGGGGGCUGCACAGCCUCAGGGCCCCUCCUCUCAGUGGGACCUCCUCUCCAGGGCCCCCUGACUGUGCCUCACAGGCACCCGUAAGUGGCUAUUUUGAGCCCAAGUUCCCUUCCGCAACCAUGGGCUUCCCUACUCACCUCCCCGACGUGAGCGCAAAGGGCUGAGUCCCCAGACCCCCUGGUACCACCUCAGACGACCUGUACCUCAGACUCACCUUCCAGUCAAGACCAGGACCCCUGGAUUGCCCCAAAGAGCACCUUUAUUCACAGCAAAGGACGUCACCAUAGCAACCACACUUCAAUUCCCUGAGAACUUUUCUCUUAUUGUUCACUUUCCUAGCUAUGUCUUUGCAGAAAGAAAAACAGAAGACAGAACACACAUCCUGGGCGAGGUGCGCCAAGCUGUACCAGCGGGAGACAGGUCGGAUGGAGGAGGGUGCGGGACGGCCCAGAUGCCAGGGCCACGUAAAUACACGGAGUGUUAGACAUUUCCCGCGUUCACCACAAA
Molecule: long non-coding RNA, 1834 nt
Organism: Hipposideros armiger (great roundleaf bat)
Lineage: Eukaryota; Metazoa; Chordata; Mammalia; Chiroptera; Hipposideridae
Exons: 2
Source: RefSeq, a predicted model, not a curated record